GUGGGGAAUUUUGGACAAUGGGCGAAAGCCUGAUCCAGCAAUGCCGCGUGCAGGAUGAAGGCCCUCGGGUUGUAAACUGCUUUUGUACGGAACGAAAAGCCUGGGGCUAAUAUCCCCGGGUCAUGACGGUACCGUAAGAAUAAGCACCGGCUAACUACGUGCCAGCAGCCGCGGUAAUACGUAGGGUGCAAGCGUUAAUCGGAAUUACUGGGCGUAAAGCGUGCGCAGGCGGUUUUGUAAGACAGUGGUGAAAUCCCCGGGCUCAACCUGGGAACUGCCAUUGUGACUGCAAGGCUAGAGUGCGGCAGAGGGGGAUGGAAUUCCGCGUGUAGCAGUGAAAUGCGUAGAUAUGCGGAGGAACACCGAUGGCGAAGGCAAUCCCCUGGGCCUGCACUGACGCUCAUGCACGAAAGCGUGGGGAGCAAACAGGAUUAGAUACCCUGGUAGUCC
Molecule: ribosomal RNA, 450 nt
Filed under: uncultured bacterium
Lineage: Bacteria
Description: partial 16S ribosomal RNA
Rfam family: Bacterial small subunit ribosomal RNA
Source: RNAcentral